UAACGCGUGGGUAACCUGCCUCGUACAGGGGGAUAACAGUUAGAAAUGACUGCUGAUACCGCAUAAGACCACAGCACCGCAUGGUGCAGGGGUAAAAACUCCGGUGGUAUGAGAUGGACCCGCGUCUGAUUAGCUAGUUGGUAAGGUAACGGCUUACCAAGGCGACGAUCAGUAGCCGACCUGAGAGGGUGACCGGCCACAUUGGGACUGAGACACGGCCCAAACUCCUACGGGAGGCAGCAGUGGGGAAUAUUGCACAAUGGGGGAAACCCUGAUGCAGCGACGCCGCGUGAGCGAAGAAGUAUUUCGGUAUGUAAAGCUCUAUCAGCAGGGAAGAAAAUGACGGUACCUGACUAAGAAGCACCGGCUAAAUACGUGCCAGCAGCCGCGGUAAUACGUAUGGUGCAAGCGUUAUCCGGAUUUACUGGGUGUAAAGGGAGCGUAGACGGAUGGGCAAGUCUGAUGUGAAAACCCGGGGCUCAACCCCGGGACUGCAUUGGAAACUGUUCAUCUAGAGUGCUGGAGAGGUAAGUGGAAUUCCUAGUGUAGCGGUGAAAUGCGUAGAUAUUAGGAGGAACACCAGUGGCGAAGGCGGCUUACUGGACAGUAACUGACGUUGAGGCUCGAAAGCGUGGGGAGCAAACAGGAUUAGAUACCCUGGUAGUCCACGCCGUAAACGAUGACUACUAGGUGU
This 694-nucleotide ribosomal RNA is filed under the name uncultured bacterium. RNAcentral's name for it is "bacterial SSU rRNA". It matches the Rfam family "Bacterial small subunit ribosomal RNA", at positions 111 to 823 of the family's 1533-position model. The record is from RNAcentral.